Long non-coding RNA from Bos taurus (domestic cattle), 1277 nucleotides. NCBI's taxonomy places the organism in Eukaryota, Metazoa, Chordata, Mammalia, Artiodactyla, Bovidae. The record is from Ensembl.
GUUAAAACCACCAUGAGGUUCUACUACAUACUUAUUAAAAAGGUUAUUAAAGAUGACUCACUAUUCCAAGUGUUGAUGAAGAUGUGAAAGAGCUGAAAUUCACUGCUAGAAGAAAAAAAAAAAUGAGAAAACGUUUGGCAGUUCCUAAGUUGAGGGCUUCCCUGGUGGCUCAGAUGGUAAAGAAUCCGCCUGCAAUGCAUGAAACCUGGACAAGUGAAUGGCUGCUACCCACUCCAGUAUUCUUGCCUGGAGAAUUCCAUGGACAGAGGAACCUGUCAGGCUACAGUCCAUGGGGUCACAAAGAAUCGAACACGACUGAGCAAUUUUCACUUUCAAAAGUUAAGUCACAUACUCUACAAUCCAGUCAUUCCUCUCCUAAGUAUUUGCCUAAGGGGAAUGAAAGCAUGUGUUCAUAUGAAGACUUCCACAUGAAUGUUCAUAGCAGCUUUGCAUGUAACAGCCUAAGUCAAAAUCAAUACAGAUGUCCAUCAGUAGGUGAAUGCUGCUAUGUUCAUAGAAUUCAGUGCUACUCAGCAGUAAAGUGGAAUGAACUCUUGAUACAUGCAACAACAUGAAUGGACUCCAAAAUAAUGUACAUGAAAGAAGCCAGAUUUUUAAAAGUAGGUACUCUAUAAUUCUAUUUAUGCAAAACUAUAGAAAAUGCACACUAGUCUAUGGUGAUCAGUGUCCCCGAGAUGGAGGUUGGGGCAGGGAAGGAGUAACUUUUGGGAAUGACAGAUGAGUUCAUGUUAUUGAUCAUGGUUGUCUCAGUCUGUUCAGGCUGAUAUAACAAAAUACAAUAGACUAGGUGGCUUAUAAACAACAGAAAUGUAUUUCUCACAUGAAAUCUGGAAGCCUGAGAUGAGGGUGUCAGCACAGUUGGAUGAGGGUCCCCUUCCAGGUCUCAGACUUCUUGUGUCCUGACAUGGUGGGAAGGGCUAGAGAACUGUAUGGGUCCCUUUAUAAAGACGCUAGCCUCAUUCAUGAGGGGUCUCCAUCGCAAGGGCCCUACUUCCUGAUGCCGUCACCUCAGAGUUUAGGAUUUCAGCAUAUAAGAACUGGGAGGGGGACACAAACAUUCAGCUUAUAGCAGUGGUGGUGUUUCCACAGAUGCAUACUUGUAUAAAAAAUUAACAAAUUGUACAUUUGAAAUAUGUGCAGUUUAUUGUAAAUCAAUUAGAUCUCAAUAAAACUUAAAAUCUUUCUGUUCAAAUGACUGGCAAGGUUUCUGUCCCCUGACUAGACUCUGAUGGCACAGGUGGUUACUGAUGGGGGGG